GACAGAGGGUGCUAGCGUUGUUCGGAAUUACUGGGCGUAAAGGGCGCGUAGGCGGUUCGUUUAGUCGGGUGUGAAAUCCCAAGGCUCAACCUUGGAACUGCAUUCGAUACUGGCGGGCUAGAGACCGGAAGAGGUGGGUGGAAUACCCAGUGUAGAGGUGAAAUUCGUAGAUAUUGGGUGGAACACCGGUGGCGAAGGCGGCUCACUGGUCCGGUUCUGACGCUGAGGCGCGAAAGCGUGGGGAGCAAACAGG
RNAcentral lists this ribosomal RNA (253 nucleotides) under uncultured bacterium. Its description in RNAcentral is "partial 16S ribosomal RNA". It matches the Rfam family "Bacterial small subunit ribosomal RNA", at positions 524 to 776 of the family's 1533-position model. The record is from RNAcentral.